UUUGCAGAGGAGGUGGCUCUGUGCCUGGCAGGACGAUGUCGAAAGUUCCCGGACAGCGGGGGAGAGAAGGAGGAACAGAAUAAAAAAAAAAAACACGAAGAAAAAUCUCAACCAAGCGUCUCGGCAAUCUGGAGUCUGUCGGAAGAACUAGUUCGAGGGCACUACUCAGUCUUCCGCGAAAACCGCAAGAGUAAGAGCCCUGCCCUCACAGCGAAAGGCUGAUACUAAAAGGAAAUUAAGAUGUAAAUGGGUUUCUCUGGGCUGGCGACGAGCGGCACUGUGUUGUAAAUAAAUUGCUUCUCAUUUGUGUGCUGCUAAUAAAACUUAAGCGCCUUG
Gymnogyps californianus (California condor) is the source of this 336-nucleotide long non-coding RNA. RefSeq lists it as uncharacterized. The transcript is spliced from 2 exons. The record is from RefSeq and is a predicted model, not a curated record. NCBI's taxonomy places the organism in Eukaryota, Metazoa, Chordata, Aves, Accipitriformes, Cathartidae.